Molecule: transfer RNA, 83 nt
Filed under: Rudaeicoccus suwonensis
Lineage: Bacteria; Bacillati; Actinomycetota; Actinomycetes; Micrococcales; Dermacoccaceae
Description: Dermacoccus sp. HOR6-4 tRNA
Rfam family: tRNA
About the family: Transfer RNA (tRNA) molecules are approximately 80 nucleotides in length. Their secondary structure includes four short double-helical elements and three loops (D, anti-codon, and T loops).
Source: Rfam by way of RNAcentral
GCCGGGAUGGUGGAACGGCAGACACGGAGCACUCAAAAUGCUUUGCUCGAAAGGGCGUGCGGGUUCAAAUCCCGCUCUCGGCA